CCGCGGCCCCACGUGACUUUCCGGGUUUCGCCUGCCGGACCGAGUCGGAUGGCUGAUGGUUACGGUGGGGUGCGGUUGGAACGAGCCCGUGAAUUAAGUUUGUGGUGUGCUCCCGCAUUUCGAAGGUGCUUGCAGAGAUCGUUAGUAGGACCCGCGCUUCUCUCCCUUGAAUUUUUGUGGAAGUGACCCUGUGUUGGGUUCCCGCAGGGAAAUGAAGAAGCCACGUGGUUGAGUUUCUGCUCCGCCGCCCACCUAGUGUGAGCGGCCAAAACACCGACAGCGGUCUCCAGCCUUCCAGCCAGAGCUGUACGCAGUCUACCUCUAUCCCACUUUCCCAACCUGUCUUUUCCGAAUUUCUUGCUAUUUCAGUCAGCGGUAGCAGCAGUCAACGCCACCACUACAGAGAAUCAGAGACGAGCUGGGUUGGAAAUGCAUCUGGUCCGCUCCCACCCCCACUUUACAGGAUCUCUGCAGAGCAUCAGUUUCGUUCAUCACAUGCCUCACUAUUGGUGAGAGGCCCCAUGGCAAGCCUAGCUCCCCAGUAGGCUUUGAAAUGUCACCAGUAUGACCAGAGGAACCCAUCCAAAGGCCCAGAGAGAGGAUCUGGAGACUUCAUGCAAACAGCUUAACCUCUCAGAAUGUUGCUGUGGAACUUAAGGACCUGAGGCUUGUCGCUUCAAGACUGGCAGCAACGGCAGGGCAGAGGGGAGUCACUCGGUGACUCUGCCACACCAGGUAGCCCUUCUCUAAGUGGAACGUCCAGCCGACCCGACCCUGCCCCCUGGGAAGUACAGACUGAGACUACUCGGACGGGACACAUCCCUACCUCCCGGAACAUCGACCUCUGUCACCAGGAGGCGCGAGACCGGGAAACCGGAAGGGCCACCCGCACGUGUGGUUUUCUCGCGGUUACCUCAGCAGCGCUCUUCGCAAUCUGAAAGCUGGAGCUUUUGAAGAGCCCCACCACCUUCACCUGCAGCGGCUGCUCGGGCGGCGACUGCGAGCGGCACCGGGCCGACCUUGGCCGGCACUGCUUCGGGCUCGCCAUGGCGGCGCUGGGGGACUGCUCCGAGCACAAACACUGCGCGUCUCCGGGGCAACCGCGCGGCUCCGCCCCCGUCUGCAGCUGGGAGGAAGGACGCGAGUGGGCCGGCGGCGACGGCCGGGUCUUCUCUCAACUUGGCUCAUGUUGCUGGGACGCCGCUUGGCCCUCGUCUCCCGGCUGCGCCAGAUUUCACAGUAGAUCGCCUUUCCGGGUUGGCGGGCAGCCAGUUGCGGGGGCGGGGCGGGGGAAGGAGGGGGC
Molecule: long non-coding RNA, 1303 nt
Organism: Neomonachus schauinslandi (Hawaiian monk seal)
Lineage: Eukaryota; Metazoa; Chordata; Mammalia; Carnivora; Phocidae
Exons: 5
Source: RefSeq, a predicted model, not a curated record